RNAcentral lists this ribosomal RNA (520 nucleotides) under uncultured Glomus. RNAcentral describes it as "SSU rRNA". It matches the Rfam family "Eukaryotic small subunit ribosomal RNA", at positions 569 to 1089 of the family's 1831-position model. Lineage: Eukaryota; Fungi; Glomeromycota; Glomeromycetes; Glomerales; Glomeraceae. The record is from RNAcentral.
AGCAGCCGCGGUAAUUCCGGCUCCAAUAGCGUAUAUUAAAGUUGUUGCAGUUAAAAAGCUCGUAGUUGAAUUUCGGGGUUAGUAGGUUGGUCAUGCCUCUGGUAUGUACUGGUCUCACUGAUUCCUCCUUCCUGAUGAGCCGUAAUGCCAUUAAUUUGGUGUUGCGGGGAAUUUGGACUGUUACUUUGAAAAAAUUAGAGUGUUUAAAGCAAGCUAACGCUUGAAUACAUUAGCAUGGAAUAAUGAAAUAGGACGUUCGAUCCUAUUUUGUUGGUUUCUAGGAUUGACGUAAUGAUUAAUAGGGAUAGUUGGGGGCAUUAGUAUUCAAUUGUCAGAGGUGAAAUUCUUGGAUUUAUUGAAGACUAACUACUGCGAAAGCAUUUGCCAAGAAUGUUUUCAUUAAUCAAGAACGAAAGUUAGGGGAUCGAAGACGAUCAGAUACCGUCGUAGUCCUAACCAUAAACUAUGCCGACUAGGGAUCGGAUGAUGUUAAUUUUUUCAAUGACUCAUUCGGCGCCUU